UACGUAGGGUGCAAGCGUUGUCCGGAAUUAUUGGGCGUAAAGAGCUCGUAGGCGGUCUGUCGCGUCGGCUGUGAAAACCCGGAGCUCAACUCCGGGCCUGCAGUCGAUACGGGCAGACUGGAGUACUGCAGGGGAGACUGGAAUUCCUGGUGUAGCGGUGAAAUGCGCAGAUAUCAGGAGGAACACCGGUGGCGAAGGCGGGUCUCUGGGCAGUAACUGACGCUGAGGAGCGAAAGCGUGGGGAGCGAACAGG
This 253-nucleotide ribosomal RNA is filed under the name uncultured bacterium. RNAcentral describes it as "partial 16S ribosomal RNA". It matches the Rfam family "Bacterial small subunit ribosomal RNA", at positions 524 to 776 of the family's 1533-position model. The record is from RNAcentral.